This 433-nucleotide long non-coding RNA is filed under the name Brachypodium distachyon (stiff brome). Its description in RNAcentral is "long non-coding RNA (BDIS_LNC005087)". Lineage: Eukaryota; Viridiplantae; Streptophyta; Magnoliopsida; Poales; Poaceae. The record is from RNAcentral.
AUGCAAAAUUUGUUCAUUUAUUGUGUAAAUUAUUACGAUGGUACAAUAAUAAUGUUGCGCAUCAUAUAAUUGGUGUACAAAACGAAAAUAACCUGUGGAACAAAAUGAUUAUUACAAAGACAUGAAAACCAUAUAAAAUAAACAAUCGUAUAUGAUAAAACAUUAUUGAUGAAACAAAGAAUAACCACUCAAAUCCCAUUAAAAACAAAAGUAUAUAAAAAGUUCAGCAAACAACAAAAAAGUAAAUUAUUGGUAAGGAAAGAAACAAAAACAUAUCAUUGGCCCAUCCGUUUGAACAAAUUACUUUAGUUUGACUUCAUUGAUCUGAAAUGAAGCUUCUAUUUCGUAGCACCCAUUUGGAACACCAUAUUUGGUGAUGAUUCCUACGGGAAAUUAACGAGAUUUUUUCUUUUGUAGAACUGUCCAGAGAAAC